UAUUAAAAAUUACAUCCGUUUGUACUGUUAAAAGCUGACGUGGUUGAUGGAAUAACUUAGUGACAUGUGGCUUGUCGCAUGUACCUCAUGCUAACAUAUAGGGAUCAGUUUUUGACCGCAAAAAUAAAUGAAGUUUUUAACA
Molecule: non-coding RNA, 142 nt
Organism: Gossypium hirsutum (cotton)
Lineage: Eukaryota; Viridiplantae; Streptophyta; Magnoliopsida; Malvales; Malvaceae
Source: Rfam